Molecule: ribosomal RNA, 865 nt
Filed under: Cortinarius sp. KL-2018d
Lineage: Eukaryota; Fungi; Basidiomycota; Agaricomycetes; Agaricales; Cortinariaceae
Description: eukaryotic LSU rRNA
Rfam family: Eukaryotic large subunit ribosomal RNA
Source: RNAcentral
AGGAUUCCCCUAGUAACUGCGAGUGAAGCGGGAAAAGCUCAAAUUUAAAAUCUGAUAGUCUUUGGCUGUCCGAGUUGUAAYCUAGAGAAGUGUUAUCCGCGCUGGACCGUGUACAAGUCUCCUGGAAUGGAGCGUCGUAGAGGGUGAGAAUCCCGUCUUUGACACGGACUGCCAGGGCUUUGUGAUGCGCUCUCAAAGAGUCGAGUUGUUUGGGAAUGCAGCUCAAAAUGGGUGGUAAAUUCCAUCUAAAGCUAAAUAUUGGCGAGAGACCGAUAGCGAACAAGUACCGUGAGGGAAAGAUGAAAAGAACUUUGGAAAGAGAGUUAAACAGUACGUGAAAUUGCUGAAAGGGAAACGCUUGAAGUCAGUCGCGUUGUCCAGGGAUCAACCUUGCUUUUGCUUGGUGCACUUUCUGGUUGACGGGUCAGCAUCAAUUUUGACUAUUGGAAAAAGAUUAGGGGAAUGUGGCAUCUUCGGAUGUGUUAUAGCCCUUGGUUGCAUACAAUGGUUGGGAUUGAGGAACUCAGCACGCCGCAAGGCCGGGUUUUUAACCACGUACGUGCUUAGGAUGCUGGCAUAAUGGCUUUAAUCGACCCGUCUUGAAACACGGACCAAGGAGUCUAACAUGCCUGCGAGUGUUUGGGUGGAAAACCCGAGCGCGUAAUGAAAGUGAAAGUUGAGAUCCCUGUCGUGGGGAGCAUCGACGCCCGGACCAGACCUUUUGUGACGGUUCCGCGGUAGAGCAUGUAUGUUGGGACCCGAAAGAUGGUGAACUAUGCCUGAAUAGGGUGAAGCCAGAGGAAACUCUGGUGGAGGCUCGUAGCGAUUCUGACGUGCAAAUCGAUCGUCAAAUUUGGGUAUAGGG